Molecule: ribosomal RNA, 1049 nt
Filed under: Anthonomus rubi (strawberry blossom weevil)
Lineage: Eukaryota; Metazoa; Arthropoda; Insecta; Coleoptera; Curculionidae
Description: 16S ribosomal RNA
Rfam family: Bacterial large subunit ribosomal RNA (bases 628-1049)
Source: RNAcentral
CUCGAAUCUAAAAGAGCUAUAUAGAUAUAAUUUUUAUUGUAGAAUAAAUAUUGUUAAUAUCUAUAUGGAAGUGAAACGCUAUUCGAUUUUAGGUAUAUCUAGUUUUUUAAGAAAAAAAUUUAAUUUUAUUUUUAUUUUAUUAAAAAAUUAAAUUUUUAAUUUUUUAAUAAUAAAAUUUUAUAUUUUUAGGGAUGAGCUUGAAAAUAGAUUUAUAUAAUAAAUAAAGAUUUCUUAAUAAAUAGAAUUUUUAGUUUUUAUUUUAAUUAGUGUUUUUUAACUAUUUUGGAGUUUAAUAAAAUUUUUAUUUUAUUUAUAUGAUGUAUUAAAAUGUAAGUUUCAAUUUUAAUAAUUUAGUAAUAAUGAUAAAAUUAGUAUAAAAAAUAGUUUUAUUGAUUUUAUUAUUUUAGGUUAAAUAAAGGAAUUCGGCAAAGGAGUUUUUCACCUGUUUAUUAAAAACAUGGCUUUUUGUAAAAAAUUUAAAGUCUAACCUGCCCAAUGAUUAAUUUAAUGGCCGCGGUAUCUUAACCGUGCAAAGGUAGCAUAAUCAUUAGUUUUUUAAUUGAAAGCUUGUAUGAAGGGUUGAAUGAGAAAACAGCUGUCUCUAUUUAAAUUAAUUAGAAUUUUAUUUUUAAGUGAAAAAGCUUAAAUAUAUAUUGAAGACGAGAAGACCCUAUAGAGUUUAAUAUUAAAAUUGUUUUGAUCUUUUAGGAUUAAUUGAUCUUAAUUUAUUUAGUAUUUGAUUGGGGUGAUCGAAAAAUUAAAUAAACUUUUUCUUGUAUAAUCAUUAAUUUAUGAAUAUUUGAUCCUUAUAAAGAUUAAAAGAUAAAAUUACCUUAGGGAUAACAGCGUAAUUUUUUUUAAGAGUUCUAAUCGAAAAAAAAGGUUGCGACCUCGAUGUUGGAUUAAAAUGAAAUUUUGGUGUAGCAGCUAAAAGUUUGGGUCUGUUCGACCUUUAGAAUUUUACAUGAUCUGAGUUUAAACCGGUAUGAGCCAGGUUGGUUUCUAUCUCUAUAAAUUUAAAAUAUCUUAGUACGAAAGGACCAGGUAUU